CACCACUCAAGCUAUGCUUGGUAUUGGGCGACGCGGUCCGCCGCGCGCCUCAAAUCGACCGGCUGGGUCUUCUGUCCCCUCAGCGUUGUGGAAACUAUUCGCUAAAGGGUGCCACGGGAGGUCACGCCGUAAAACAAGCCCAUUUCUAA
RNAcentral lists this unclassified non-coding RNA (149 nucleotides) under uncultured Capnodiales. RNAcentral describes it as "sequence contains ITS2". The record is from RNAcentral. Lineage: Eukaryota; Fungi; Ascomycota; Dothideomycetes; Capnodiales.